UGAAAGAUUUAACAUUGAGACGAGUGGCGAACUGGUGAGUAACACGUGGGUAACCUGCCCUUGAAGUAGGGGAUAACACUUGGAAACAGGUGCUAAUACCGUAUAACAACCAAAACCACCUGGUUUUGGUUUAAAAGACGGCUUCGGCUGUCACUUUAGGAUGGACCCGCGGCGUAUUAGCUUGUUGGUAAGGUAACGGCCUACCAAGGCGAUGAUACGUAGCCGACCUGAGAGGGUAAUCGGCCACAUUGGGACUGAGACACGGCCCAAACUCCUACGGGAGGCAGCAGUAGGGAAUCUUCCACAAUGGACGAAAGUCUGAUGGAGCAACGCCGCGUGAGUGAUGAAGGGUUUCGGCUCGUAAAACUCUGUUGUUGGAGAAGAACAGGUGUCAGAGUAACUGUUGACAUCUUGACGGUAUCCAACCAGAAAGCCACGGCUAACUACGUGCCAGCAGCCGCGGUAAUACGUAGGUGGCAAGCGUUGUCCGGAUUUAUUGGGCGUAAAGCGAGCGCAGGCGGUUUUUUAGGUCUGAUGUGAAAGCCUUCGGCUUAACCGGAGAAGUGCAUCGGAAACCGGGAGACUUGAGUGCAGAAGAGGACAGUGGAACUCCAUGUGUAGCGGUGAAAUGCGUAGAUAUAUGGAAGAACACCAGUGGCGAAGGCGGCUGUCU
RNAcentral lists this ribosomal RNA (673 nucleotides) under Lentilactobacillus buchneri. Its description in RNAcentral is "bacterial SSU rRNA". It matches the Rfam family "Bacterial small subunit ribosomal RNA", at positions 72 to 730 of the family's 1533-position model. The record is from RNAcentral. Lineage: Bacteria; Bacillati; Bacillota; Bacilli; Lactobacillales; Lactobacillaceae.